Pelobates cultripes (western spadefoot toad) is the source of this 228-nucleotide non-coding RNA. The record is from the annotation of a GenBank genome assembly. Lineage: Eukaryota; Metazoa; Chordata; Amphibia; Anura; Pelobatidae.
AAGGUAAUUUAUGUUCUCAAGUGUCCAUGUCAAUUAUACUAUGUGGGGAGAACCAAGCGUCCCCUCCACGUAAGAAUAAAUGAGCAUGUUAGAAACAUCAGGAAAGGCUAUGAGAAGCAUUAUGUAUCUCUGCACUUUAAAACAGUACAUAAUAGUGAUCCAAGUAUGUUAGAAUUUUUUGCUAUCCAAAGGGUUAUUUUAAGCUGGAGAGGAGAUGAUGAAAUCAAA